CAAAAGAUAGUUUAUUAAAAUAAUGGUUUUGGAAAUCAUUGAUAACAAGAAUUUGUUUCUUUUGA
RNAcentral lists this transfer RNA (65 nucleotides) under Songmachilis xinxiangensis. RNAcentral's name for it is "tRNA-Pro". The record is from RNAcentral. Lineage: Eukaryota; Metazoa; Arthropoda; Insecta; Archaeognatha; Machilidae.